This 1165-nucleotide ribosomal RNA is filed under the name uncultured Flavobacteriaceae bacterium. Its description in RNAcentral is "bacterial SSU rRNA". It matches the Rfam family "Bacterial small subunit ribosomal RNA", at positions 363 to 1533 of the family's 1533-position model. Lineage: Bacteria; Pseudomonadati; Bacteroidota; Flavobacteriia; Flavobacteriales; Flavobacteriaceae. The record is from RNAcentral.
AUUGGACAUGGAGGCAACUCUGAUCCAGCCAUGCCGCGUGAAGGAAGACGGCCUUAUGGGUUGUAAACUUCUUUUAUACAGGAAGAAACCUUUCCACGUGUGGAAAGUUGACGGUACUGUAAGAAUAAGGAUCGGCUAACUCCGUGCCAGCAGCCGCGGUAAUACGGAGGAUCCAAGCGUUAUCCGGAAUUAUUGGGUUUAAAGGGUCCGCAGGCUGUUUGUUAAGUCAGAGGUGAAAUCCUACCGCUCAACGGUAGAACUGCCUUUGAUACUGGCAAACUUGAGUUAUUGUGAAGUAGUUAGAAUGUGUAGUGUAGCGGUGAAAUGCAUAGAUAUUACACAGAAUACCGAUUGCGAAAGCAGAUUACUAACAAUAUACUGACGCUGAGGGACGAAAGCGUGGGUAGCGAACAGGAUUAGAUACCCUGGUAGUCCACGCCGUAAACGAUGGUCACUAGCUGUUCGAUGUACAUUGGUACGUUGAGUGGCUAAGCGAAAGUGAUAAGUGACCCACCUGGGGAGUACGCUCGCAAGAGUGAAACUCAAAGGAAUUGACGGGGGCCCGCACAAGCGGUGGAGCGUGUGGUUUAAUUCGAUGAUACGCGAGGAACCUUACCAGGACUUAAAUGUAAGUUGCAUGAUUCAGAAAUGAAUCUUUCUUCGGACUACUUACAAGGUGCUGCAUGGUUGUCGUCAGCUCGUGCCGUGAGGUGUCAGGUUAAGUCCUAUAACGAGCGCAACCCCUAUCGUUAGUUGCCAUCAAGUAAAGUUGGGAACUCUAGCGAAACUGCCGGUGCAAACCGAGAGGAAGGUGGGGAUGACGUCAAAUCAUCACGGCCCUUACGUUCUGGGCUACACACGUGCUACAAUGGUCGGUACAGAAAGCAGCCACUAUGCAAAUAGGAGCUAAUCUUUAAAACCGAUCUCAGUUCGGAUCGCAGUCUGCAACUCGACUGCGUGAAGCUGGAAUCGCUAGUAAUCGGAUAUCAGCCAUGAUCCGGUGAAUACGUUCCCGGGCCUUGUACACACCGCCCGUCAAGCCAUGGAAGCUGGGGGUACCUAAAGUCGGUGACCGAAAGGAGCUGCCUAGGGUAAAACUAGUGACUGGGGCUAAGUCGUAACAAGGUAGCCGUACCGGAAGGUGCGGCUGGAAUACCUCCUUUCU